This 285-nucleotide long non-coding RNA is filed under the name Anas platyrhynchos platyrhynchos (common mallard). RNAcentral describes it as "lncRNA (ENSAPLG00000020449.1)". Lineage: Eukaryota; Metazoa; Chordata; Aves; Anseriformes; Anatidae. The record is from RNAcentral.
AAGUAUUCAAGUAUUUUAGCACAACGUCCACUGUAGGGAAGAAGACAGAAUUGAACACUUGAAAUGAAGAACACCCCAAAAAUCAUUUGAUAGGAAAGAGAAACUCACAAAACCUCCACAAAAUGGAUCAGUAAGUUUGAAAAUGAUGGCUCCAAGAACAUGCAAGGUGUCUUUCCACCUGCCAAUUAAGAAAGAUGAGGAAGUGAUUUAUUACUAAAGCUCCUAUACUGUAUGAGGACUUCUAGCCUCAAAGCUAGGGGCUGCUCAUGCCUCCCCCACCACCCC